Molecule: unclassified non-coding RNA, 380 nt
Filed under: uncultured Chlamydiales bacterium
Lineage: Bacteria; Pseudomonadati; Chlamydiota; Chlamydiia; Chlamydiales
Description: contains 16S-23S intergenic spacer region
Source: RNAcentral
UCCUGGUUAACCCAGGCAGUCUCGUUAGAGUUCCCAACUUUACUUGCUGGCAACUAACGACAAGGGUUGCGCUCGUUGCGGGACUUAACCCAACACCUCACGGCACGAGCUGACGACAGCCAUGCAGCACCUGUGCAAGUGUCCAUUGCUGGAAGUAUACAUCUCUGUAUAGGUCACUUGCAUGUCAAACCCAGGUAAGGUUCUUCGCGUUGCAUCGAAUUAAACCACAUGCUCCACUGCUUGUGCGGGUCCCCGUCAAUUCUUUUGAGUUUCACCCUUGCGAGUGUACUUCCCAGGCGGUAUACUUAUCGCGUUAGCUACGGCACAGUUGGGGUUGAGUCCAACUACGCCAAGUAUACAUAGUUUAAGGCAAGGACUAC